RNAcentral lists this ribosomal RNA (208 nucleotides) under uncultured bacterium. Its description in RNAcentral is "partial 16S ribosomal RNA". It matches the Rfam family "Bacterial small subunit ribosomal RNA", at positions 568 to 774 of the family's 1533-position model. The record is from RNAcentral.
CGUGCAGGCGGUUCGUUAAGUCGUGCGUGAAAGCUCCCUGGCUCAACCGGGAGAGGUCGUACGAAACUGAUGGACUUGAGGGCAGCAGAGGAGUGUGGAAUUCCGGGUGUAGUGGUGAAAUGCGUAGAUAUCCGGAGGAACACCAGUGGCGAAGGCGGCACUCUGGGCUGAACCUGACGCUAAGACGCGAAAGCAUGGGUAGCGAACG